UACGUAGGGCGCAAGCGUUAUCCGGAAUUACUGGGCGUAAAGCGUGCGUAGACGGUUAUUUAAGUCAGGUGUGAAAGCCCCGGGCUCAACCUGGGAAUUGCAUUUGAGACUGAAUAGCUAGGGUGCGGAAGAGGGAAGCGGAAUUUCCGGUGUAGCGGUGAAAUGCGUAGAUAUCGGAAGGAACACCAGUGGCGAAAGCGGCUUCCUGGUCCAGCACCGACGUUCAGGCACGAAAGCGUGGGGAGCAAACAGG
RNAcentral lists this ribosomal RNA (253 nucleotides) under uncultured bacterium. RNAcentral's name for it is "partial 16S ribosomal RNA". It matches the Rfam family "Bacterial small subunit ribosomal RNA", at positions 524 to 776 of the family's 1533-position model. The record is from RNAcentral.